Molecule: unclassified non-coding RNA, 347 nt
Filed under: soil metagenome
Description: partial contains 5.8S ribosomal RNA, internal transcribed spacer 2, and large subunit ribosomal RNA
Rfam family: 5.8S ribosomal RNA (bases 1-120)
Source: RNAcentral
GAUGAAGAACGUAGUGAAAUGCGAUAAGUAAUGUGAAUUGCAGAAUUCAGUGAAUCAUCGAAUCUUUGAACGCACAUUGCGCCCGCCAGUAUUCUGGCGGGCAUGCCUGUCCGAGCGUCAUUUCAACCCUCGAACCCCUCCGGGGGGUCGGCGUUGGGGAUCGGCACUUACCUGCCGGCCCCGAAAUACAGUGGCGGUCUCGCCGCAGCCUCUCCUGCGCAGUAGUUUGCACACUCGCACCGGGAGCGCGGCGCGUCCACGGCCGUAAAACAACCCAAACUUCUGAAAUGUUGACCUCGGAUCAGGUAGGAAUACCCGCUGAACUUAAGCAUAUCAUAAGCGGAGGA